CCCUUAGAGUUUGAUCCUGGCUCAGGAUGAACGCCGGCGGUGUGCCUAAUACAUGCAAGUCGAGCGCACUGGCCCAACUGAUAUGACGUGCUUGCACUGAAUUGACGUUGGAUUCCCAGUGAGCGGCGGAUGGGUGAGUAACACGUGGGCAACCUGCCCUGAAGCGGGGGAUAACAUCUGGAAACAGGUGCUAAUACCGCAUAACAACGAAAACCACAUGGUUUUCGUUUCAAAGAUGGUUUCGGCUAUCACUUCAGGAUGGGCCCGCGGUGCAUUAGCUAGUUGGUAAGGUAACGGCUUACCAAGGCGAUGAUGCAUAGCCGAGUUGAGAGACUGAUCGGCCACAAUGGAACUGAGACACGGUCCAUACUCCUACGGGAGGCAGCAGUAGGGAAUCUUCCACAAUGGGCGCAAGCCUGAUGGAGCAACACCGCGUGAGUGAAGAAGGGUUUCGGCUCGUAAAGCUCUGUUGUGGAGAAGAACGUGCGUGAGAG
This 494-nucleotide ribosomal RNA is filed under the name uncultured bacterium. Its description in RNAcentral is "bacterial SSU rRNA". It matches the Rfam family "Bacterial small subunit ribosomal RNA", at positions 1 to 461 of the family's 1533-position model. The record is from RNAcentral.